RNAcentral lists this small RNA (27 nucleotides) under Arabidopsis thaliana (thale cress). RNAcentral's name for it is "ATSL051020". The record is from RNAcentral. Lineage: Eukaryota; Viridiplantae; Streptophyta; Magnoliopsida; Brassicales; Brassicaceae.
CUUCUCAUUGUAUUUCUCAUCAUCCAA